This 467-nucleotide ribosomal RNA is filed under the name uncultured bacterium. RNAcentral's name for it is "partial 16S ribosomal RNA". It matches the Rfam family "Bacterial small subunit ribosomal RNA", at positions 28 to 523 of the family's 1533-position model. The record is from RNAcentral.
GACGAACGCUGGCGGCGUGCUUAACACAUGCAAGUCGAGCGGGAAACUUCGGUUUCCAGCGGCGGACGGGUGAGUAACACGUGGGCAACCUGCCUCACAAUGAGGGAUAGCCCUCCGAAAGGAGGAUUAAUACCUCAUAACACAAGAGAAACGCAUGUUUCUCUUGCCAAAGAAUUUCGUUGUGAGAUGGGCCCGCGGCGCAUUAGCUUGUUGGUGAGGUAACGGCUCACCAAGGCUUCGAUGCGUAGCCGACCUGAGAGGGUGAUCGGCCACAUUGGAACUGAGACACGGUCCAGACUCCUACGGGAGGCAGCAGUGGGGAAUAUUGCACAAUGGAGGAAACUCUGAUGCAGCAACGCCGCGUGAGUGAUGAAGGUCUUCGGAUUGUAAAGCUCUGUCUUUUGGGACGAUAAUGACGGUACCAGAGGAGGAAGCCACGGCUAACUACGCGCCAGCAGCCGCCGCCG